UCCGCCAUAGCUCAUUUGGUAGUAGCGCAUGACUGUUAAUCAUGAUGUCGUAGGUUCGAGUCCUACUGGCGGAG
This 74-nucleotide transfer RNA is filed under the name Streptococcus pneumoniae. RNAcentral's name for it is "tRNA-Asn". It matches the Rfam family "tRNA". Rfam says of the family: Transfer RNA (tRNA) molecules are approximately 80 nucleotides in length. The record is from RNAcentral. Lineage: Bacteria; Bacillati; Bacillota; Bacilli; Lactobacillales; Streptococcaceae.